UACGGAGGGGGCUAGCGUUGUUCGGAAUUACUGGGCGUAAAGCGCGCGUAGGCGGCUUUGUAAGUUAGAGGUGAAAGCCCGGAGCUCAACUCCGGAACUGCCUUUAAGACUGCAUCGCUAGAACGAUGGAGAGGUGAGUGGAAUUCCGAGUGUAGAGGUGAAAUUCGUAGAUAUUCGGAAGAACACCAGUGGCGAAGGCGACUCACUGGACAUCUGUUGACGCUGAGGUGCGAAAGCGUGGGGAGCGAACAGG
This 253-nucleotide ribosomal RNA is filed under the name uncultured bacterium. Its description in RNAcentral is "partial 16S ribosomal RNA". It matches the Rfam family "Bacterial small subunit ribosomal RNA", at positions 524 to 776 of the family's 1533-position model. The record is from RNAcentral.